UAGCUACUUGCAUCAUUGUAGAUAUGAUGUAAGAUCGACUAUGUUGAAUAAAAUUCUAGGUAGAAUUAUGAUAAUGACAUUGUCUGCCUAUGUGUCUUGACCAAAUUACGUGCCAGCAGUCGCGGUAAUACGUAGAAGACUAGUGUUAUUCAUGUUUAAUCGGUUUAAAGGGUACCUAGACGGUAGAUCAAGCUUUCUAAUAAAUGAAAAGGACUAAUUUACUAGAGUUACUUAUGAGGGGGUAUUAAAGUACUGCUGGUGUAGAGAUGAAAUUCUGUCAUACCUCUUUUCAAAAGAAAAACCAUGGCACAGGUAUAGGCGAAGGCAUCCCCUUAUGUGAUAACUGACGUUGAGGGACGAAGGCUUUGUGUAGCGAACAGGAUUAGAUACCCCAGUAGUCGAAGCAGAAAAUGAUGAAUGUCAUAGAUUAGAUGUAUAAGUUUAUUCUAUAAAUGAAAGUGUAAGCAUUCCACCUCAUGAGUAAUUUGGCAACAUUGGAACUGAAAUCAUUAGACCGUUUCUGAAACCAGUAGUGAAGUAUGUUGUUUAAUUUGAUGAUCCGCAAAAAACCUUACCACAAUUUGAAUAUUUAUAUUUUUUUUAUUGUUUUUUUCUUAAGAGAUAAAUAAUUAAAGAAAAAAAUCAAAAAAGGAAGAAAAUUAAGAAAGAGGCAAUAAGAUAUAUUUACAAGCGUUGCACGGCUGUCUUCAGUUAAUGUCGCGAGACUUUGGUUAGUUCCAUUAAAUUAACGUAAACCCUUACUUUAUUUUUAUAUAGAGUAGUUCCCCGCUAUAUGGAUAUGAUAACAGG
Molecule: ribosomal RNA, 810 nt
Filed under: Xanthoparmelia sp.
Lineage: Eukaryota; Fungi; Ascomycota; Lecanoromycetes; Lecanorales; Parmeliaceae
Description: partial small subunit ribosomal RNA
Rfam family: Bacterial small subunit ribosomal RNA
Source: RNAcentral